UUAAACUACCAUGCAAUUAAGGAACAAGCUACUAGAAUUUUGACAAAACAGGAACCGAAUGGAAGCAAGGCAACUAUCUGCUGUCUAAACGGUGGAAAGGAAAAAGGAGUAGGAGUUGUUUGAUAAUUGGGCGGUGGGAAACCGUUAUUUGGACAGCUGCCAGGAAGGAACUUACCACCGAAACUGCUGAGUAAGCAGCGACCGAAUGAGAGGAACUUGGAAUGAUUAGCCACCGAAUGGAGGAACAUUGAGUGAUCAGCUGAGUGAAGAAGUACGCUUAAUUCUCUUCCUACCAACCAAGCAUUAGGAACAAAACUGAGAGAGAGAGAUUCGGUCACACCCAUUUUAUCUCAAAAACCCAAUCGAGUGAGAGGAAAAGAAAACAGAGAACGAAGCUUUCUUUCUUCUUCAUACCCAAAACCGUGAGAAAGAGUGAGAGUGAAGAAGCAUUUCUAGUUCCUUCUAGCCACAACCGAGUGAGUAAGAGAGCUGAGUGAGUGAUAAGAGGAGGAAGCUAACUUAGAAUUUCACAUAUCAGCUACCAUAGUGAGGAGGAACCGAAGCUAGGAGCAGGAGCAAUCUGCCACUAGUAAAACUUAGCAGAAAAAGGUAAGAAUCUUGUAACCACCCUUUUAUUUCUUGAAUAUAACUGAAUAUAUGGGCUUCAUGUUAGUUUAGCAAGGAAUAAUAAGUUUUAACCGAAGGAAGAUCUGAUAAAGAAGAAAAAUUGGAACUGGACUGAAGUUGUAGGAAGUAGGAACCGAGAGUUGUUGUUUGUUGCUGCAGCUUGUUAACCGAAAGUAUGGGGUAAUUUUCUGCUAGAAGCUUAAACUAUAUGUUAUUUCCUUGUCUUACCUGAGUAACUAGAGUAGAGUUGAUAGCUUGAGUGAAAACUUUGCUAAGAUUAGCUGGUAGUUUCUAUCUAGUUGGCUAAGAGAGGAAAUACGAAAUUUUCCAGAUUUCUUGACAGAUUUUGGGUUCCAAAUUCUUACGUUGAAGCUUAAUACCCUGCAUAAUAGUUUAGUCUCAGCAUGCAUGUUAGAUUGAGUGGGAAAUGAAGUAGAUAAUAGAGAAAUGUCUUGCUUUAAAAAACUGAGUUGCUGCCAAAACUUUUCCAGCAUGGCUGAAAGAGAGAGUUACACUUCAGAUCAGCCUUUCUUUCGAAGUUCAGCUGUAAAAUUUUAUACUUGCUGUUCAAGAUUACUUUGUAGCUUGCUAAUUAUGUUUUGCAUGUUGAGUUGAAGUUAAAACUGAAGAAAAUGUGAAGAACGAACCGAAUAAUUAACUGUCUUAUGGCUGAAGGUUUACUUAGCUAAUGACAGAAUUAGUUGUGGCUUUUGGGUUGAAUAAUCCGUUGAAACUAGAUGCUAAUUGCUUUGGUAUAUGCUGGAAUGAAUGUAACUUAAGUAUAUGGAGAUUUAAGCAAGUGAAAGAAUAGAGUAUUUGCUUAAAAGCUUGAAAUAACAUUACUGGAAAUUUGUGAUUUGUCUGUCUAGUUGGGGCAUGAAAGUGAAAGGAAAGACUUGAGAAAACAACAAAUGUUGGACCGUUACACUGCUAGAAAAUUUAGUUGGGGAAUGCUAUAGCUGAUAACAGCUUUUGUAUGUGAUUUUGGCCGAAUAACAUGCUGAAAUUAUGAGUUAUUCACCUUAGUUCAUGUUGAACAGAAUGUAUACUAAGUGACUAAUAUUUGAGUAAGUGAAAGAUGGAAUUUGUUGAAGAUUUAGAAACAUUUGAUCCAAAAUUCUUGCUUUGGCUGACCGAAUGUGUGAAGAGAUGAAGCUCUCAUGAAACUUUUGAAAAUUUAUGUUAAAUGGUUGUGAAUUUAUAUGGAGCAUCUUAUAGUAUCUUGAAACUAUUUUAUGAGUAUUUUAAAGAACUUAAAACUGAAAAAUUAGUAAAAUUUAAACGAGAUUUAAACUAUUGGCAACUUGGAGUCUAGUUUAAUCCAAAAAGAAAAGAAUGAAAAGGCAAUUUGCCUUAAUCUUAGAAUAUUGGAUAGAAAAUGGUUUAAUCUUAGGUUAAACGUUUUAUAAGACUAUAAACUUGGUAUAUGUAUAAUUCUUGAUUAAAACAAUUAAGUCAAUAAGUUUCAAAAUAAAAUGAUAAAUGAAUAUUGAAUAUAUUAUAUUUGUACUUUAAAGUCAAACUUGAUUUUAAUAGUUCAAGUGAUAAAGUAAGAACAAUAAGUAAACAUCUACAAACUAUGUAUUUGAUUUGGAAUUAUUAACUUGUCCAGGAAGUAGCUGUGAACCAGAAAACCGACUCGAGACUCGAGAGUAAUUUAUUUGGAUAUUUGGUGAGUGUUUUCCAAAUUUAUGUGUUAAACUGCUUAUGUUUACCUAAGUGCAAUUAUAUGGCAAAUGUGCUUAUUAUGAAAUAUUGCUAAGUGAUUUAUUGCUAAGUGUAUCUCAAUUGUCCCUCGCCUUUUAAGUCGAGUGUGUACUUUAUCGCACUCGGUUUAGUUGAGUUUGAAAGUUGAUAAUUGAUCAAGUGAUAUUGUAAGUAUGCAUGACUGUAAGCCGUGUGUGCACUUUAUCACACUGGCUGAACUGGGCUCCGAAACCCUUUGUUCAACGGACUAUUCGAGCUAGCAAAAGGGGCUCGGUCGGAUAGGACGGUAGCUUUGGGUAAGUGUAUUGGUAUGCUCGAGUAUUACCACGGAGUAGCAGAUUACUGAUAUUGAUAUGGCCAUCCAAGUGAGGGAAGUGUUUAUUGUUUUGGAGGUUAUAAGGAGGAGUUCGGCGGAGUGUGUAGUGCAUUGAAGUGGCUCUAAUGCGAGCACCGUAUCCUUUUAAAAGUGAUUGUUCAGUGAAGUGUUUCCUCAAUUGCUAAUGAAAGUGAUUGUACAGUGAAAUGUGCACUACUUGCUUAAUUGUAUUGAUUCAUGUGAUUAUUAAAUGUCACUUGCAUGAAAACCUCACGGGCGUAAGCUCACCCUUUUAGGUUUGUUUUCCUUACAGGAGUCAGAGAUUGAAUAGUGAUUGGAUGGAACUAGAAAGUUAUUUUGGGAAGAUCCGUUAUUCUGUGUAUAUAGUGUAGGCAUGGUCUCUUUUGAAUUUUGAAACGGUUGAAUUUUUGUUUGAGUUGGUGUGAUAUUAAGAAUGGAUAUUUAGAAUAGGUAUUUUGUUUCUUUUAUUGGACAAAUUUAUGUUUCAAAUUGAUUGAAGAUGUACUUAAGAGUGAAUGUUCAGUUGUCCAAUGGUAAUGUUAUCUCUGAAGUUAAUGUGAGUAAGUGAGCCCUGGCGAGAGUCAGGCAGGCGAUCCGCUAAUUUCUAGGGUAUGCCCUAGGAGAAUGUGGGGUCGUUACAGAAUUAACCCUUUAA
RNAcentral lists this long non-coding RNA (3326 nucleotides) under Coffea arabica (coffee). RNAcentral describes it as "long non-coding RNA (CARA_LNC007386)". The record is from RNAcentral. Lineage: Eukaryota; Viridiplantae; Streptophyta; Magnoliopsida; Gentianales; Rubiaceae.